UCGAACGGUAACAGGCCGCAAGGUGCUGACGAGUGGCGAACGGGUGAGUAAUGCAUCGGAACGUGCCCAGUCGUGGGGGAUAACGCAGCGAAAGCUGCGCUAAUACCGCAUACGAUCUAUGGAUGAAAGCGGGGGACCGUAAGGCCUCGCGCGAUUGGAGCGGCCGAUGUCGGAUUAGGUAGUUGGUGGGGUAAAGGCUCACCAAGCCAACGAUCUGUAGCUGGUCUGAGAGGACGACCAGCCACACUGGAACUGAGACACGGUCCAGACUCCUACGGGAGGCAGCAGUGGGGAAUUUUGGACAAUGGGCGCAAGCCUGAUCCAGCAAUGCCGCGUGCAGGAAGAAGGCCUUCGGGUUGUAAACUGCUUUUGUACGGAACGAAACGGCGAGCUCUAAUACAGUUUGCUAAUGACGGUACCGUAAGAACAAGCACCGGCUAACUACGUGCCAGCAGCCGCGGUAAUACGUAGGGUGCGAGCGUUAAUCGGAAUUACUGGGCGUAAAGCGUGCGCAGGCGGUUUUGUAAGACAGUCGUGAAAUCCCCGGGCUCAACCUGGGAAUUGCGAUUGUGACUGCAAAGCUGGAGUGCGGCAGAGGGGGAUGGAAUUCCGCGUGUAGCAGUGAAAUGCGUAGAUAUGCGGAGGAACACCGAUGGCGAAGGCAAUCCCCUGGGCCUGCACUGACGCUCAUGCACGAAAGCGUGGGGAGCAAACAGGAUUAGAUACCCUGGUAGUCCACGCCCUAAACGAUGUCAACUGGUUGUUGGGUCUCUUCUGACUCAGUA
RNAcentral lists this ribosomal RNA (785 nucleotides) under uncultured bacterium. RNAcentral's name for it is "bacterial SSU rRNA". It matches the Rfam family "Bacterial small subunit ribosomal RNA", at positions 62 to 845 of the family's 1533-position model. The record is from RNAcentral.